Long non-coding RNA from Hibiscus syriacus, 491 nucleotides. RefSeq lists it as uncharacterized. The transcript is spliced from 4 exons. NCBI's taxonomy places the organism in Eukaryota, Viridiplantae, Streptophyta, Magnoliopsida, Malvales, Malvaceae. The record is from RefSeq and is a predicted model, not a curated record.
AGAUCAACUACCUAACAAGGAAGAAAGGGUGGCACCAUACCAUUUUAGUUCAUCUCUUUACUAUGGUGGCCGAGAUUCAUAUUCCCAUUCCUCGAGUGGCCAAACUUCAACAUCAUACCCAAUUUUUAAGAAAGAUGGGGGAGAAGAUGACCCUAACGGAAACAAUUCAAUGGAUGCCUCUAGAGGGAAUUGGUGGCAAGGUUCGCUUUAUUAUUAGAAUCCUCCAUUAGUUCUCCAAGGAAUACAUAAAAACAGGCAAGUAAUCAUAUGGAAGAACAUGAAGCAUGAAUAAGUUUCUGGCCCUUGGGAGUUGGGAUUUAAAAAUCCUUUCGGUAGUAUCUUUUUUUUUUCUUUCGUGAUUUUAAUUUGGGAAUGAAGCUUGAGAAGUUCUUCAUUAGAUCAUGGACUCUGCUCUGAGAUAAGGGCCGAGAAACCGAUGGAAAAAUUAAGUCAUUUUCCUUUUUAAAUGUAAAGAUGCAAUCUUUUUGCUA